UUUGUCCUACGGGACGCAGCAGUGAGGAAUAUUGGUCAAUGGUCGGGAGACUGAACCAGCCAAGCCGCGUGAGGGAUGAAGGUACAGAGUAUCGUAAACCUCUUUUGUCAGGGAACAAAGGCGGGGACGCGUCCCCGGAUGAGUGUAACUGAAGAAAAAGCAUCGGCUAACUCCGGGCCAGCAGCCGCGGUAAAACGGAGGAUGCGAGCGUUAUCCGGAUUUAUUGGGUUUAAAGGGUGGGCAGGCGGUCUGUUA
RNAcentral lists this ribosomal RNA (255 nucleotides) under uncultured bacterium. RNAcentral's name for it is "partial 16S ribosomal RNA". It matches the Rfam family "Bacterial small subunit ribosomal RNA", at positions 333 to 585 of the family's 1533-position model. The record is from RNAcentral.